AAACGGACGGAAAACAUUAAUUGGAUUACCUUUUGGAGUGAGUGCUGUGGAUCUGGAGACAUAUCCUAGCUUGCUGAGAUGCAACCAUUUGCUCAAGGUGGUCUUGCUCCGCCUUGAAUGGGUUCGAUUAAAAGCAUCAUACCAUUCAAGGAACGAAUCAAGCCACCACUUUUGAAGGAUCGCAGGCGGGAGUUCACAAGGAAAUAAAGAAACAAAAUAUAAACAACAGGACACGCGCACACAGGAGGGAAGAGCCGGGCAAAACCCCGUGCCAUCU
Molecule: long non-coding RNA, 277 nt
Filed under: Coffea arabica (coffee)
Lineage: Eukaryota; Viridiplantae; Streptophyta; Magnoliopsida; Gentianales; Rubiaceae
Description: long non-coding RNA (CARA_LNC007003)
Source: RNAcentral